GGUUGCCUGCCUUGUUUGUGAUAGGAAUGGAAACUUUUUCCGACAUUCGAGAAUUAGGGAGUCAGAGCUUAUCAAGUGUUGUGCGCCCUGUUCAUUCAGGGAUUAUGCCUGAUCUUGUAUGCAAGACACCCACCUGUAUUAACAGGGAUUCAAGUUUACAUACCACACGGCAAGGUGGGUCUCUU
RNAcentral lists this non-coding RNA (185 nucleotides) under Nitrospiraceae bacterium. RNAcentral describes it as "6S RNA". It matches the Rfam family "6S / SsrS RNA". Rfam says of the family: E. coli 6S RNA was the first non coding RNA to be sequenced, but its function was unknown until recently. It consists of 184 nucleotides that fold into an extended hairpin structure with a large single-stranded internal bulge. The 6S RNA specifically associates with RNA polymerase holoenzyme containing the sigma70 specificity factor. The record is from RNAcentral. RNAcentral also lists the same sequence under 1 other name. Lineage: Bacteria; Pseudomonadati; Nitrospirota; Nitrospiria; Nitrospirales; Nitrospiraceae.